UCGAUUUUUUCUCUUUAAGUUAUGGAUUUGCAGAGAAUGGAGGGUGCUGUUUCGUUGUUGCCUUAUUGCUUAUUGUCUUGAAUUUUUCUUUACUUAAGGUACAUCCUCAAUUGGUUGAUUCAUUCUCAGGUGAACGCUGAUGCUUUGAGAACUUCGGUGGAUCCAUCCAAAGUUCCAUGCGGACCUACAGAAUUGGAGGUUGCAGA
RNAcentral lists this long non-coding RNA (206 nucleotides) under Eucalyptus grandis. RNAcentral describes it as "long non-coding RNA (EGRA_LNC000269)". Lineage: Eukaryota; Viridiplantae; Streptophyta; Magnoliopsida; Myrtales; Myrtaceae. The record is from RNAcentral.